AGAGUUUGAUCCUGGCUCAGGAUGAACGCUAGCGGCAGGCCUAACACAUGCAAGUCGAACGGUAGGAAUUAGCAAUAAUUCCGAGAGUGGCGCACGGGUGCGUAACACGUAUGCAACCUACCUCCAACUGGGAAAUAGCCCGGAGAAAUUCGGAUUAAUGUCCCAUAGUAAACAGAUACAGCAUUUUAUUUGUUUUAAAACUACGGUGGUUGGAGAUGGGCAUGCGUUCUAUUAGCUAGUUGGUAAGGUAACGGCUUACCAAGGCUACGAUAGAUAGGGGGCCUGAGAGGGUUAUCCCCCACACUGGUACUGAGACACGGACCAGACUCCUACGGGAGGCAGCAGUGAGGAAUAUUGGACAAUGGUCGGAAGACUGAUCCAGCCAUGCCGCGUGCAGGAAGACGGCCCUAUGGGUUGUAAACUGCUUUUGUUUGGGAAGAAACCCCCCUACGUGUAGGGGUCUGACGGUACCAUACGAAUAAGCACCGGCUAACUCCGUGCCAGCAGCCGCGGUAAUACGGAGGGUGCAAGCGUUAUCCGGAUUUAUUGGGUUUAAAGGGUCCGUAGGCGGGUCCAUAAGUCAGUGGUGAAAUCCUGCAGCUCAACUGUAGAACUGCCAUUGAUACUGUGGACCUUGAAUUCGGUUGAAGUGGGCGGAAUAUGGCAUGUAGCGGUGAAAUGCGUAGA
RNAcentral lists this ribosomal RNA (687 nucleotides) under uncultured bacterium. Its description in RNAcentral is "bacterial SSU rRNA". It matches the Rfam family "Bacterial small subunit ribosomal RNA", at positions 8 to 694 of the family's 1533-position model. The record is from RNAcentral.